CCUACGGGCGGCAGCAGUGAGGAAUAUUGGUCAAUGGACGAGAGUCUGAACCAGCCAAGUAGCGUGAAGGAUGACUGCCCUAUGGGUUGUAAACUUCUUUUAUAUGGGAGUAAAGUGUGCCACGUGUGGGAUGUUGUAUGUACCAUAUGAAUAAGGAUCGGCUUACUCCGUGCCAGCAGCCGCGGUAAUACGGAGGAUCCGAGCGUUAUCCGGAUUUAGUGGGUUUAAAGGGGGCGUAGGUGGAUUGGUAAGUCAGUUGUUAAAGUUUGCGGCUCAACCGUAAAAUUGCCGUUGAAACUGGCAGUCUUGAGUACACUAGAGGUGGGCGGAAUUCGUGGUGUAGCGGUGAAAUGCUUAGAUAUCACGCAGAACUCCGAUUGCGAAGGCAGCUCACUGGACUGCAACUGACACUGAGGCUCGAAAGUGUGGGUAUCAAACAGGAUUAGAUACCCGAGUAGUC
This 460-nucleotide ribosomal RNA is filed under the name uncultured bacterium. RNAcentral's name for it is "partial 16S ribosomal RNA". It matches the Rfam family "Bacterial small subunit ribosomal RNA", at positions 338 to 795 of the family's 1533-position model. The record is from RNAcentral.